RNAcentral lists this ribosomal RNA (1692 nucleotides) under Triticum aestivum (bread wheat). RNAcentral describes it as "partial small subunit ribosomal RNA". The record is from RNAcentral. Lineage: Eukaryota; Viridiplantae; Streptophyta; Magnoliopsida; Poales; Poaceae.
AUGGAGGAUGUGCAUGCACCAAUGGAUGUUCAGCUCGCACCACAAGAGGCUUUGCCCGCCCCUCAGGAGGCUGCGGGCAACGUGAAUGCCCUAGCAGAUGUCGUCGAAUACAUUUUUCAAUUUAUCACUGUUGUUCCCCACCAAGAUGAGGCAUUAAAGAGUACCUUGUGUAAGCAAGGAACAUCAAGAAGGAAGGUUAUCUCAAACCGAGGUCAAACUAUUCUCUCGGUCGUCAGUGAUCUCAUUGACCCUCAUACGGGAGCAUGGGACGAGCCCCUGAUCCGUUCUAUUUUUAAUCCUGUCGACGCCAUAAGGAUCAUGCAAAUCCCAAUUAAUCAUAAUGCAUUUGAUGAUUUUAUUGCCUGGAGCCCAGAUCGAAGAGGUAUUUUUUCAGUUCGUUCGGCGUACCGCUUACAAUGGAUUCAAUCUUUUCAGGCGCAUGCAAAUGUAUUGGCACGCCCAGCUGGAUCAAACUUAUCAGAAGUAUGGCCUACACUGUGGAAACUGCAGGUUCCACGUAAGAUUCAGAUUUUUUGCUGGCGUGCACUUCAUGGAAUUAUCCCCCUAAGAUCCAUACUCACUAAUAGACAUGUGGGUACCAAUGGCUCAUGUCCGAUUUGUCACCAGGACGCAAAAGAUGUACGCCAUCUGCUUUUUGACUGUACACAGGCAAAGGAAUUAUGGCUUCGACUGGGUAUACUGGAUAUUGUUGAAGAAGCGAAGUUAAUUGAUCGCUCUGGUUCAAUCAUACUCGAACACCUGAUCCUAGCAGACUCCAGACCGAUCCCUAUAAAGCCUAAUUUGCAUGUAAAGCAGGUGAUAGCGGUUGGGGCUUGGUACUUAUGGUGGGUGCGCCGUCAACUCACCCAUGAUGGAUCACCGCCACCUCCCUCGAGAUGGCCUAUUUCGGUCCUGGCAAUUGCAAAUAAUUUUCAUCAAGCCAACUUAAAAAUUCGCGUUGUACAUGAACAUAAAUGGAGCAAGCCGGAACCCAAGUUUGUGAAGCUAAACGUGGAUGCCUCUUUCCAUAUGGAUGAGGGUGCAGGAGCCAUUGCAGCUGUUCUUAGAGACAGUAAUGGUAAUUUUUUGGCGGCACAAUAUCGGUUUAUACCUUACGUAGCAGAUGUGGUGACAACGGAGGCUAUGGCUAUGCGUAAUGGACUAAUCUUUGCAAAUUCUCUGGGGUUCUCUCGAGUGGAAGCUGAGUCUGACUCCUUGACGGUAAUUGAUUAUUGUACUGGACAGACAAGAUGGUGGGAUGCUGCGGCGGCGAUCUUUGCGGAAUGUGUGGACGUGUCUUCGUCAAUCGGGAAGGCGAGCGUGCUCAAAAUCCCCCUCGACCCCGGCUGCAUCAGGCGACUCCGCGACCCCACCGCCGGCCUCCGCCCUCCCCGCACCGGCGACCUCCCCCUCCUCUCCCUUCCCUUCCCUUCCCCCAUAUCGAGAAGGGAGGCCAUGGUGCUCCCAACAUGGCUGUAUCUAGACCAAGCCCGUGGGGUUCCAGCUCGACCUCCUCGCAGCGACCACGGCGGCAGGAUCCGCGGAUCCAUGGCCACGGCGGUGCGAGCGCGCAGACGCAGCCUUCAGAAGAGAGGAGGCAUGUCGGCCAUGGCGUUCCCGCCGCAGCCGGGUCACUGGCUCCACCACGAGCUCCUCGCAGUUGUCAGUGACGACGGCGGCUCCGAACCCUAG